This 876-nucleotide ribosomal RNA is filed under the name Triticum aestivum (bread wheat). Its description in RNAcentral is "partial small subunit ribosomal RNA". Lineage: Eukaryota; Viridiplantae; Streptophyta; Magnoliopsida; Poales; Poaceae. The record is from RNAcentral.
AUGGCAACCAACCCUCGGUUCGUGGCGUCGUUCGACGUGGAGAGCAGCGACAAGUACACCAGCUUCAUCGCGGGCAUCCGCAGCAGGGUCGCCAACACGAAGCACUACUCCCACAACGUCCCCGUGCUGCCGCCGGCGGACCCGCCCGGCACCCCGCCGCGCCGGUGGUUCCACGUGGUGCUCAGGACGCGGACCAGCACGCUCACGCUCGCCAUCCGGGCCGACAACCUCUACCUGGAGGGCUUCCGGAGCAGCAACGGCACGUGGUGGGAGCUCACGCCCCGCAUCAUCGCGGGCGCCACCCACCUGGGCUUCGGCGGCACCUACCGCGACCUCCUCGGCGACACGGACAAGCUGGCCGGCGUCGCGCUCGGCCCGCAGCAGAUGGCCGAGGCCGUGAACGCGCUCGCCGCGCGCACCGCGGCCGACGCCGGCUCCGGUGCCAAGCAGCAGCAGGCGAGGGAGGCCGUGGUGGCGCUGCUGCUCAUGGUGAACGAGGCCGCGCGGUUCCAGACCGUGUCGGGGUUCGUGGCCGGCCUGAUGCACCCGAGGGCGGCGAAGAACAAAGGGACCAUCACCGGGGAGAUGAAAGCGCAGGUGAACGGGUGGCAGGACCUCUCCGCGGCGCUGCUGAAGACGGAUAAAUAUGGAGACGCAUCUACUAGCAAGAACUCUAAAGACAAGAAGCCAACGCCGAAAGGCCCGGAAAAAUCAGCUCCUGAAGGCCCGGCAACGUUCACGGCGUUUGACAAGAUCGGGGUGAAGACGGCGGACCAGGCGGCCGCCACGCUGGCGAUCCUGCUGUUCGUCGCCGUGGAGGGCGGGAUGGCCAGGGACAAGGCGCUGCAGCUGUUUCGUGGGACUCCAAAUUACUAG